Long non-coding RNA from Trichoplusia ni (cabbage looper), 2556 nucleotides. RefSeq lists it as uncharacterized. The record is from RefSeq and is a predicted model, not a curated record. The transcript is spliced from 3 exons. Lineage: Eukaryota; Metazoa; Arthropoda; Insecta; Lepidoptera; Noctuidae.
AUUUUAAGAUUUUUUGUGUACAUAAAUGGUAAAUAAGAAGAGAUCGAAUCAGAAAAUAAAGCGAAUAAAAAGAAUUUUGUUCAAAAAGCCUUGUCUAAAACAAUCUGCCGGCUUCUUUUGUUCACACAGCCCAGAGCGAGGAAUACCACAAUAAAUAUUUCUGAAGAAGUUAAUGUCUCCAAAUGGAUCACAUUCGUUCUAACCCAGCCAAUAUCUGAGAUUACGUCUAUUGACACGAUUCGUACUGAUUGAGGUAUAUGUAAUCCAAUUUAUUCAUUAAAUUGAACAAUAUUAAUUAAAUUAAACUGAAUAAUCAAUUGAAGCCAGAUAAUUAGUUUGCCAAGUAUUCAUAGCUCGACAUCACUCGAUUUGGAGACAAUUGAAUUUGUGUAUUUAAAUUAACCUUUAGAUGACAUUCUGGGAAUGGGCUUCCAAUUUUGGUUAAAGUACGAGUAUUUAUGUAAAUGAAAGGCAUUGUACUAUAACCAAUACUUGAGAAAACUGCACAAUCAAAAUGUAUACACGAGUAAAAAUGAUUCAAACAUCUUAAAUGAAAACUAGUGACGUGCCAGUAGGACUCCUCAAACUGAAGGUUUUGUAAAAGUAAGUUAAAGAAAAACGAAUUAACAAGUUGCUCACCCAUCAGACUUAACGCACAAUGGGCCGACUUGGAGCCUACGUGCGGGAAUAGGGAGCGAGCCACCACCCAUCAGACUUAUGGCCGUACCAACAGUUACUCUAUCUUGACUUUUAUGACUUGUUUUUAUACCCGCAAUAGAAAUACAUCCGUGCAACUGUUCGUUUCAACUAUCUAACUAUGACGGUUCUGAAAGUAUAUUCUAGUGGCAGACGGAUAAGCAUACAACGUCAGCCUUAAUAAUAAUCUUCCGUUUUUACACCACUUUAGGUUAAGGUUAGUCAGAUAGGAAAAGUCGACUCCAGUUCUCAAAGGAGACUUGUAAAAAUGUUGAUAGAUAUUACUUACUAAAUACGUAUUUAUGAUUCCAUUUCCUCCAUUUUAUUGAUUGAACGAAGCUCUAACAAAACAAUUAUUUAUAUGAGUUUCUUUCAUACUCAGUUUCUACUACAAUUUAUAACUCCAUACAAUGAAUUGUAGAGCACCUUUUAUCCUAUGGACAAAAUGAAAAAAAUUAUAUGCCUUGUAUAUUCUACAAAUAAAGUAAGGCAAAGGAUUAAAAUUUUAAUUCCAGGCCCUGCUAUUGAGGAUUUUGUUUAUGAAGAGAAUAAGUUAUUAUUUUCGAAUACAAUACUUUUUUAAUCAGGCAUUACUUUGCCGAGAGUCAUCAGGGAGAAAACAUAGACUGAUUAAAAACAAUCCAUUCUUCGAAUCCAAUCAAUAAUUUCGAGAGAUUUAUUCCCGUGAUCGAUUUCAGGUUUAUUUAGGCCGACAAAAUUGCGCAGUCGUAAUACAUUGCGGAGUCACACAGUUCUGGUGUCAAAAGUGAUAUAUCAUUGCCGGCUAUGUAUGGCACCUCGAACUAAUUCUCACCUCAACUCAAUGUAGCGUUGAUUUCAAAUGGCGCUUUUGCAGUGCGAUUGAUUUAGACGAAAUGUCUGUUAUUUGUCGAAUCUCGCCCCAGGAAUGGAAAAAAUAUUUUUAUUCAUAUGUCUUAAAUCUGGAGUUUUCUUCGUAAACAAAAGCGAGUGAUUACGCGGGUUUCCUUGUUGAGGACAAUUUAUCUGAGCUUUAGGAAUUGACCUAUCUUAAGAUCUAAGUUCAGUAAUUAUGUCGCCUACUUGAGGAAAUCAUAACUUAUCCAUCAAACUACACAUUAACUAUAUUAGUUACAGUAACAACAAAAAGGUAAGCGAGCCACCCAUCUAAAACCUAAGCCCAGGAAGAAAAGCUUAACCUCUUUGAUCGAUCAUUCUGCUCGACGUAUAUAGCUACGAAACGCUUAAAAAUUCUCUACGCAAACAAAUGGCCCAUUGUAAGGAUAUUAAUAUAAACGACCGACAAUAAGUCAUCAUAAAAAAGAAAAUAUAAUUUGUAUCGUAAACGCUUAGAAUAAGGUUCCGUACAAAAAGGGGAUCAUUUAUCUUUUAAUUAAUCUGUAUGAUAAUCUUCCCUUUGUAGGGAAACGAGAAUUUUAAGUAUUCUCAUAGCGUCAGUGGAUUAUAAUUUAUGUUGUCUAAUGGAAGGACCAUUAGGCUACAUCUGCAUAAUACUAGUACAAUGUACCAUACGUUGGAAUUUAUGUUUAAUAGAAUAAGCGCUUUUAUUUAUAGUCACGUAAGGCCUAUAAUUGUGUAACAUUGGCUAGUGCUGGUGAGUGUACGUUAGUGGCAAUUUUAAUUCGAGCUCUGAUCAUAAAGUGAUCGGUUACGUUAACGUCCAUGGUAUAAAAUAAAAUGUCAAUCUACAGUGGCUGAAUACAACAAGGCAUGAAAAUGAAUAAACUUCUCGAAAAAUCUGUCAAGUGCAAGUAUUCUUAUAACAUUUAUGACCGAACUUUGCUUUUGCUUAACAGUUCAUAAGAUACAGCCCGGAGACAGCCAGGCGAACAGAUGGUAACCAGACGGACACACAGCUAA